AUCGCUUCUCGGCCUUUUGGCUAAGAUCAAGUGUAGUAUCUGUUCUUAUCAGUUUAAUAUCUGAUACGCCCCCGAUUCGGGGGCAACGUAUUAAAUGCAUUUUUAGAACAGGGAGCUGAAUAAGGGGCUCGCUCCGUUCGCUCCACGCAUCGACCCGGUAUUGCAGCGCCUCCGGGAACGGUGCCCCCUUU
This 191-nucleotide small nuclear RNA is filed under the name Oreochromis niloticus (Nile tilapia). RNAcentral describes it as "U2 spliceosomal RNA (ENSONIG00000034042.1)". It matches the Rfam family "U2 spliceosomal RNA". Rfam says of the family: U2 is a small nuclear RNA (snRNA) component of the spliceosome (involved in pre-mRNA splicing). Complementary binding between U2 snRNA (in an area lying towards the 5' end but 3' to hairpin I) and the branchpoint sequence (BPS) of the intron results the bulging out of an unpaired adenosine, on the BPS, which initiates a nucleophilic attack at the intronic 5' splice site, thus starting the first of two transesterification reactions that mediate splicing. Lineage: Eukaryota; Metazoa; Chordata; Actinopteri; Cichliformes; Cichlidae. The record is from Rfam by way of RNAcentral.